Paramisgurnus dabryanus is the source of this 1013-nucleotide non-coding RNA. The record is from RefSeq and is a predicted model, not a curated record. Lineage: Eukaryota; Metazoa; Chordata; Actinopteri; Cypriniformes; Cobitidae.
CAUCCUUUUGUGUGUAAGUGUGCAUAAGUACAUGCUAACGAUAUUCAAGAAGUACAUACCUCAAAGAAAACGAUGACACGAGUUAUCGUCUCUAACGUUCGAGGACUACAAAAAACACUCGGAUUGUAGGCAACAGUUUACUUCCUGGGAUUGGUGACGUAGAUAAGACCAACAUUAUCAUAGUUCAGCCCUCUCUGCUUUGCUUGGGUACGCCCUCAAAGACGAGGGUGGGGAGCGCCGAGUCAGAAGACAGCUAAAAUGGCGGAGGUUGUGAGUUCCUGCUUUGACCCUGUUUGCAAGCUCUUGUUUCAUUGUUUAAGCGAUUAAAUCUCUCGAGUAGACGCUGUCUCUUUAGAUGCGAGGGCAAAAUAGCACUUUAUGGACUUCCACAGAGGACAUCAUGUUUAAUACGGUUCCGGAAAAAUCCAGUCAGAAGUUGUUCACGGAGUUUUCACAAUAACUGCUUCUCAUGAACCGAAGCUGGAUUUGCGCGAAGUCUCCUCUUGAAAGUUGGAUUACUGCACUUCUGGAUCACAGGCUAUUCGCAGCUGGACACAUCCUUCUACACUGUAUGUAAACAUGCAACAUCAUUACACACAGUACAAGGAGUCAGACUGGCAUAUGAGGAGCAAAGGAACCCAGGCAGUAGCAUCGUUUCACAAUGUUUCCAUCACCAUCAUCAGUGGAUGCCUUUGCUGUCCGUAGCCUGAGAUUUCAGAUUUGCAGCAAAAAAAAAUUUAUUUUCUCAUUUAUUGGAAUGCUGUGCAGGUAUUUGUACCUUGCAGCCAUCCAUUACAAUGUCACCAAGCCGUAACAAAAGCAGGAGAGGGAAAGUACAAGGCUAUGUUCCCAAAACACACAAGUGACAUACCUUAUGUGGAUGAUGUGAUCAGGCUUGUGUUUGAUGAGGUAUUUGAAGAUAAGCUGAAGGAAGCCCUGAUUCCAAUGGACCUGGCAUCACAGUUUGAGAGACCUUCAAAGGAGGACGUGAUUGCAUGCCAUCUUCAGUGCAG